This 25-nucleotide non-coding RNA is filed under the name Rattus norvegicus (Norway rat). The record is from RNAcentral. Lineage: Eukaryota; Metazoa; Chordata; Mammalia; Rodentia; Muridae.
AGAAAGGACUCACUGCUACGCUUGG